GGGGAAUAUUGCGCAAUGGGGGAAACCCUGACGCAGCAACGCCGCGUGAAGGAUGAAGGCUCUCGGGUUGUAAACUUCUUUGAUUAGGGACGAAUAAAUGACGGUACCUAAAAAACAAGCCACGGCUAACUACGUGCCAGCAGCCGCGGUAAUACGUAGGUGGCAAGCGUUAUCCGGAAUUACUGGGUGUAAAGGGCGUGUAGGCGGGGAUGUAAGUCAGAUGUGAAAUUCCACUGCUCAACGGUGGCGCUGCAUCUGAAACUAUAUCUCUUGAGUACUGGAGAGGAAAGUGGAAUUCCUAGUGUAGCGGUGAAAUGCGUAGAUAUUAGGAGGAACACCAGUGGCGAAGGCGGCUUUCUGGACAGUAACUGACGCUGAGGCGCGAAAGCGUGGGGAGCAAAC
This 402-nucleotide ribosomal RNA is filed under the name uncultured bacterium. RNAcentral's name for it is "bacterial SSU rRNA". It matches the Rfam family "Bacterial small subunit ribosomal RNA", at positions 356 to 773 of the family's 1533-position model. The record is from RNAcentral.